Molecule: transfer RNA, 64 nt
Filed under: Sinohyriopsis schlegelii
Lineage: Eukaryota; Metazoa; Mollusca; Bivalvia; Unionida; Unionidae
Description: tRNA-Cys
Source: RNAcentral
UGUCUUGUAGUAUAUAACCCAAUUACUGUAAACUGCAACUUUACCAAAGCAACAGCCAAGGCAU